Meleagris gallopavo (turkey) is the source of this 223-nucleotide non-coding RNA. The record is from RefSeq and is a predicted model, not a curated record. NCBI's taxonomy places the organism in Eukaryota, Metazoa, Chordata, Aves, Galliformes, Phasianidae.
CAAUUUGCUUCUUUUUCAGUUGAUUUCAUAGGUGGAUUUGAUUCUUACGGCUAUCAAGGCCCACAGAAGACAUCUCAUUUACAGCUACAGCCCAUGUAUAUGUCAAAGUGAAAACGGUGACUGCUCAAGGUGGGCUGGAGGACCUGUCAAAGAAAAUGCUUUGGGAUUGCCCUCUGGUUUUUCAAAGAGCAAAAAAAUUCCAGUUUUUGUGCUAAAAAAAAAA